RNAcentral lists this ribosomal RNA (208 nucleotides) under uncultured bacterium. Its description in RNAcentral is "partial 16S ribosomal RNA". It matches the Rfam family "Bacterial small subunit ribosomal RNA", at positions 524 to 730 of the family's 1533-position model. The record is from RNAcentral.
UACGUAGGGUGCAAGCGUUGUCCGGAAUUAUUGGGCGUAAAGAGCUCGUAGGCGGUUUGUCGCGUCUGCUGUGAAAACCCGAGGCUCAACCUCGGGCCUGCAGUGGGUACGGGCAGACUAGAGUGCGGUAGGGGAGAUUGGAAUUCCUGGUGUAGCGGUGGAAUGCGCAGAUAUCAGGAGGAACACCAGUGGGCGAAGGCGGAUCUCU